UCCUCUCUCCGCUGAUUUGAAGAACCCUGUCGUCUUCAAUCUCAACCUUCACUUCCUCUUUCUUAAGCCCAGGAAGUUCAGCCUUGAAUACAUGAGCUUCUGGUGUCUCUUUCCAGUCUAUGCGAGUGUUGAUAAAAGCAGAAUUUUCACGAGAGACGAUCGAAGAAGAUGAAGGGAAAGGAAAGUCUUUGAAUGGAUCCCAAACAUCGAAAGAAGAGAAAGGAUCGAAAAUGCUGCUUCUUGAGUUACCGAAGAAACUUGGAAUCAGAGCCAUUUCCAAUUUGUUUAU
Non-coding RNA from Jatropha curcas, 289 nucleotides. Lineage: Eukaryota; Viridiplantae; Streptophyta; Magnoliopsida; Malpighiales; Euphorbiaceae. The record is from RefSeq and is a predicted model, not a curated record.